RNAcentral lists this ribosomal RNA (253 nucleotides) under uncultured bacterium. Its description in RNAcentral is "partial 16S ribosomal RNA". It matches the Rfam family "Bacterial small subunit ribosomal RNA", at positions 524 to 776 of the family's 1533-position model. The record is from RNAcentral.
UACGAAGGUUGCAAGCGUUGUUCGGAAUCACUGGGCUUAAAGCGUAUGUAGGCGGAUGAGUAAGCGUUUUGUGAAAUCCCUCGGCUUAACCGAGGAAUUGCUUGGCGAACUGCUCAUCUUGAGGCAAAUAGGGGUGCAUGGAACUCUUGGUGGAGCGGUGGAAUGCGUAGAUAUCAAGAGGAACGCCAGCGGCGAAAGCGGUGCACUGGAUUUGUCCUGACGCUCAGAUACGAAAGCGUGGGGAGCAAACGGG